ACUAUACUAAAGUAAAUAAAAGCUUCUACACUAGAUGCCUAUUUGACAGUGCUAUAGCUAAAUUUAAGGAAGAUAUUUUAACAGCAUUCAAUUUAAUUCCGUUCCUUAAUAUAACAGAGGACCUUUAUGUUAACUUUAGUCCCUCCCAAAUUGAUAAAUUUGAAGAGGGUGCUACGACCUGCCUACAGACGACUUUAGACUCUGUUGCUGCUCUCAAACAGAAGAUAAGGAAGCUAAGGAAACUAGCACCUUGGUAUAACUCCCAAACUCGAAAAUUAAAACAAAUCUCACAAAAACUUGACAGUAAAU
Molecule: long non-coding RNA, 309 nt
Organism: Etheostoma cragini (Arkansas darter)
Lineage: Eukaryota; Metazoa; Chordata; Actinopteri; Perciformes; Percidae
Exons: 3
Source: RefSeq, a predicted model, not a curated record